UACAGAGGGUGCAAGCGUUACUCGGAAUUACUGGGCGUAAAGCGUGCGUAGUCGGUUAUCUAAGUCGGGUGUGAAAUCCCCGGGCUCAACCUGGGAAUUGCAUUCGAUACUGGAUAGCUAGAGUUCGGCAGAGGGAAGCGGAAUUUCCGGUGUAGCGGUGAAAUGCGUAGAUAUCGGAAGGAACAUCAGUGGCGAAAGCGGCUUCCUGGACCAGAACUGACGAUCAGGCACGAAAGCGUGGGGAGCAAACAGG
This 253-nucleotide ribosomal RNA is filed under the name uncultured bacterium. Its description in RNAcentral is "partial 16S ribosomal RNA". It matches the Rfam family "Bacterial small subunit ribosomal RNA", at positions 524 to 776 of the family's 1533-position model. The record is from RNAcentral.